This 292-nucleotide ribosomal RNA is filed under the name uncultured bacterium. Its description in RNAcentral is "partial 16S ribosomal RNA". It matches the Rfam family "Bacterial small subunit ribosomal RNA", at positions 505 to 796 of the family's 1533-position model. The record is from RNAcentral.
GUGUCAGCCGCCGCGGUAAUACAGAGGGGGCAAGCGUUGUUCGGAAUUACUGGGCGUAAAGGGCGCGUAGGCGGCCUUCUAAGUCAGACGUGAAAUCCCUCGGCUCAACCGGGGAACUGCGUCUGAGACUGGAAGGCUUGAAUCCGGGAGAGGGAUGUGGAAUUCCAGGUGUAGCGGUGAAAUGCGUAGAUAUCUGGAGGAACACCGGUGGCGAAGGCGGCAUCCUGGACCGGUAUUGACGCUGAGGCGCGAAAGCCAGGGGAGCAAACGGGAUUAGAAACCCCUGUAGUCC